AUGAGUAAAGUGGCGACCGGGUGAGUAACACGUGACUAACCUACCUCCAAGUGGGGAAUAACUCCGGGAAACCGGGGCUAAUACCGCAUAACAUCGCAAGAUCAAAGCAGCAAUGCGCUGGGAGAGGGGGUCGCGGCUGAUUAGCUAGUUGGCGGGGUAACGGCCCACCAAGGCGAAGAUCGGUAUCCGGCCUGAGAGGGCGCACGGACACACUGGAACUGAAACACGGUCCAGACUCCUACGGGAGGCAGCAGUGGGGAAUUUUGCGCAAUGGGGGAAACCCUGACGCAGCAACGCCGCGUGGAGGAUGAAGUCCCUUGGGACGUAAACUCCUUUCGACCAAGACGAUAAUGACGGUACUGGUGGAAGAAGCACCGGCUAACUCUGUGCCAGCAGCCGCGGUAAUACAGAGGGUGCAAGCGUUGUUCGGAAUUAUUGGGCGUAAAGGGCGCGUAGGCGGUGCCACAAGUCACCUGUGAAAUCUCCGGGCUUAACUCGGAGUCUGCAGGCGAAACUGUGGUGCUGGAGUGUGGGAGAGGUGCGUGGAAUUCCCGGUGUAGCGGUGAAAUGCGUAGAUAUCGGGAGGAACACCUGUGGCGAAAGCGGCGCACUGGACCAUAACUGACGCUGAGGCGCGAAAGCUAGGGGAGCAAACAGGAUUAGAUACCCUGGUAGUCCUAGCCCUAAACGAUGAUUGCUUGGUGUAGCAGGUACCCAAUCCUGCUGUGC
This 729-nucleotide ribosomal RNA is filed under the name uncultured bacterium. RNAcentral describes it as "bacterial SSU rRNA". It matches the Rfam family "Bacterial small subunit ribosomal RNA", at positions 86 to 846 of the family's 1533-position model. The record is from RNAcentral.